Molecule: ribosomal RNA, 573 nt
Filed under: Triticum aestivum (bread wheat)
Lineage: Eukaryota; Viridiplantae; Streptophyta; Magnoliopsida; Poales; Poaceae
Description: partial small subunit ribosomal RNA
Source: RNAcentral
AUGAAUCCUACCUCGGCCCUGGGUCCGGACGGCCUCCCGGUUAAAUUCUUCCAGUCCUUCUGGAAUGUGAUCAAGCCGGAGGUCAUGGCCAUCUUUGACGAGUUCUACGUUGGGUCCAUCGACCUCGGGCGCCUCAAUUAUGGGAUCAUUUCACUCAUUCCCAAGGUGCCUGGGGCGUCCGACACCCGCCAGUUCCGUCCAAUCACGGUGAUAAAUGUGAUCUUUCGAAUUCUGGCAAAAGGGUACGCCAAUAGGGUGACCCUUCUUGCCGACCGCAUUACCCACCCCAACCAAUCUGCCUUCAUUCAAGGUCGGUACAUCCUGGAUGGGGUGCUAGUCCUUCAUGAAUUCCUGCAUGAGGUCCGAUCCAAACACCUCAAGGUAGUCUUCCUGAAAAUCGACUUCCAUAAGGCUUACGACACUGUUAGCUGGCCCUUCCUUCGGGAAGUUUUGCUCCGGAAAGGCUUCGACGAACGAUGGGUCACCAGAGUGAUGCAGAUGGUCUCCUGUGGUCGCACUGCGGUGAACAACAAUGGGGAGAUAGGCCCUUACUUCUCCACCCUCUGUGGUUGA